GGUGACUCUCUCAGGAGGUUGAAUAGGGUUAGAAAGACGGCAUGACUAUAUCUCUAAUGUAGACCUAAAGUGCUUCCUAGAGCUAGGGACCAGGAUUCUAAAUGAGACCUGAGGGAAUGGAGCUGUUGUUGACAAGAGCUGUUAGACAAACAGGACAUGGAGGAGGAGAGGUCAAAAGUCCGUCUGACUCACCUGUGCUGAGUGACUUGAAUGCCAUCUAAUCUAACUUCAAGGUGAGGACAGUCUGUUCUGAAGGUCUACACAUUAAUGCUUCCUAUUGGGAAUUCAAAUCGGCAAUUUGUUCUUCUUCUGGUUGUUUGAAUCUUCAAAAUAGAGGGAAGACACCUGGAUGAAACAUUUUCACAGACUCUGCAAUUCCCUUAAGAGGAUCCCAGAGCCCUUAAGCUUCUCUUAGAUUCCUCUGAUUUUUUUCAGCCCAAGGACUGUUACCACAUGUCUUCCAUCUUGCCCACAAUUUUAGCAGGCCCACAUUUACAAGAUGAACAUCUGCAGGAGACCUUUGCUCUAUUAUCAAUUCGAAGUGUUUCCUGCAAAGUCCACCAAAUAUUCAAGAUGGCUUCACUUGCUUAUUGGCUGAAGGUCUGCAAGGACUCAAUUCACAUAUCUGAUCAUACCUGGAGUCCAGACUUUCUCCUGAUGCCUGACCCCUUUGCCAUUAGGUCGGCUCCGUAUGACUGAGUUCUAGCCAGUGAGGUAUGGGCAGAAGUGAUGUGUACCAAUUGCGAGCUCGACUUUUGAAAUCAUCCCACGUGAUCCUCCUGCCAUCUACCAGCCAUCCUUUUUGAUCUUGAAGGUCUUAUGCCUCAGAUUGUGUAACUACAGGAUGAAGGAAGGCCACUCAACCCACACUUGGACAUGAUGUUCUUUUUGAGGGGAGUCUCUCUGAUGCUUGGAAUGAAUCCUGCUGAAUCAAUGCUGAUGCUUGGAGAUCUUCAAGUCUUUUCCCUUUUUCCCAUUGCUCAUGAUGUCUAUAUAACCUCCAAACAUGCAUCCCACUCCUCUGCCGAAAGACCAUUUUUUUAUAUCUUCAGUGAUGGUCUAGGCCAGGUUAAUUGACUUUUCUUUUUUCUUAAGCCAACUAAAGUCCUCACCACAAA
This 1118-nucleotide long non-coding RNA is filed under the name Homo sapiens (human). Its description in RNAcentral is "long intergenic non-protein coding RNA 1811". Lineage: Eukaryota; Metazoa; Chordata; Mammalia; Primates; Hominidae. The record is from RNAcentral.